AUGGAAGAAGAGAUCCCCGCUCUUCAUUGAUAAUGGCUCCAGCAUGUGAAAAGCGGCUUUGCUGGGACAAUGCCCUCUGAGCCAUGUUCCCCUCCAUCGUCAGGUGCCCCCGGCACCAGGGCAUGAUGGUGGGCAUGGGCCAGAACGACUCCUAUGUGGGCGAUGAGGCCCAGAGCAAGUGCGGCAUCCUGACCCUGAAGUGCUCCAUCAAGCACCGCAUCGUCACAAACUGGGAUGACAUGGAGAAGAUCUGGCACCACAUUUUCUACAACGAGUUGCGUGUGGCCCUGGAGGAGCAGCUGGUACUGCUGACUGAGGCCUCGCUAAACCCCAAGGCCAACAGGGAGAAGAUGACUCAGAUCAUGUUUGAGACCUUCAACACCCCGGCCAUGUACACAGCCAUUCAGGCCGUGCUGACCCUCUACACCUCUGGGCGCACCACUGGUAUUGUCAUGGACUCUGGAGAUGGGGUCACCCACACGGUGCCCAUCUACAAGGACUACACCCUCCCUCACAGUGUCUUGCAUCUGGAUCUGGCUGGCCGGGACCUUACUGACUACCUCAUGAAGAUCCCCACCUAGCACAGCUAUAGCUUCACUGCCAUGGCCAAGCAGAAGAUCAUGCAUGACAUCGAGGAGAAGCUAUGCUACGUCGCCCUGGACUUCGAGCAGGGGAUGGCCACUGCUGCAUCCUCCUCCUCCCUGGAGAAGAGCUAUGAGCUGCCUGACAGCCAGGUCAUCACUAUUGGCAAAUGAGCAGUUCCGGUGUCUGAGGCACUGUUCCAGCCUUCCUUCCUGGGCAUGGAUUCCUGUGGCAUCCAUGAAAGUACCUUCAAGUCCAUCAUGAAGUGUGACGUGGACAUCCCAAAGACCUGUAUGCCAACACAGUGCUGUCUGGUGGCACCACCAUGUACCCUGGCAUCACUGACAGGAUGCAGAAGGAGAUCACUACUCUGGCACCCAGCACCAUGAAGAUCAAGAUAUAGUGCCCCCAGAGCGCAAAUACUCAGUGUGAAUUGCUGGCUCCAUCCUGGCCUCACUGUCCACCUGCCAGCAGAUGUGGAUUAGCAAGCAGGAGUACGAUGAGUCAGGGCCCUCCAUCGUCCACUGCAAAUGUUUCUAAAUGGAUUGCAAGCAGAUAGCAGAUGCAUAGCAUUUGCUGCAUGGGUUAAUUCAGAAGUAUAAAUUUGCCCAUGGAAAAUGCAUACACCUCAUGCUAUCCUCACAAUACUGGAAUAAGCCUUUGAAAAGAAAUUGUCCUUGAAGCUUGUAUCUGAUAUCAGCACUGGAACAUAGAACUUGUUGCUAAUUUUAACCUUGUAUUCCAGUUAACUGUUGCCCUUGGUUAUUUGUUUAAUACCCUGUACAUAUCUUUGAUUUCAACCCUUAGUACGUGUGGCUUGGUCACUUUAUGGCUGAGGUAAGAACGUGCUUGUGGAAGACAAGUCUGUGGCUUGGUAAGUCUGCGUGGCCAGCAGUCUCUGAUCUGUGCAGGGUAUUAAUGUGUCAGAGCUGAGUGUUCUGGGAUUUCUCUAGAGGCUGGCAAGGGCUUCUGAACCAGUUGUUUCUGUCCUGCUGGUCUGUCAGGGUUGGAAAAGUCCAAGCCAUAGGACCCAGUUUCCUUUCUUAGCUGAUGUUUUUCUACCGGAACACAGUGGGCUGUUACUUGCUUUGAGUUGGAAGCGGUUUACAUUUACACCUGUAAAUGUAUUCAUCCUUUUAAUUUA
Molecule: RNA transcript, 1726 nt
Organism: Piliocolobus tephrosceles (Ugandan red Colobus)
Lineage: Eukaryota; Metazoa; Chordata; Mammalia; Primates; Cercopithecidae
Gene name: actin, cytoplasmic 2-like
Exons: 1
Source: RefSeq, a predicted model, not a curated record